This 294-nucleotide ribosomal RNA is filed under the name uncultured Mycoplasmatales bacterium. RNAcentral's name for it is "partial 16S ribosomal RNA". It matches the Rfam family "Bacterial small subunit ribosomal RNA", at positions 32 to 331 of the family's 1533-position model. Lineage: Bacteria; Bacillati; Mycoplasmatota; Mollicutes; Mycoplasmatales. The record is from RNAcentral.
UAACGCUAGCAGGAUGCCUAACACAUGCAAGUCGAACGAGGUAGCAAUACCUAGUGGCAAACGGGUGAGUAAUACAUGCUCAAUCUACCCAUAAGAGGGAGAUAACAGCUCGAAAGAGUUGCUAAUAUCCCAUAACAUGUAGAAACAUAAGUUUUUACAUCUAAAGUUGCGUAUGCAACACUUUUGGAUGAGGGUGUGUCUUAUCAGAUAGUUGGUGAGGUAACGGCCCACCAAGUCGAUGACGAGUAGCUGUGCUGAGAGGCAGAACAGCCACAAUGGGACUGAGACACGGUC